CCUGGUUGAUUCUGCCAGUAGUCAUAUGCUUGUCUCAAAGAUUAAGCCAUGCAUGUCUAAGUAUAAGCAAUUAUACAGCGAAACUGCGAACGGCUCAUUAUAUAAGUUAUCGUUUAUUUGAUAGUACCCUACUACUUGGAUAACCGUGGUAAUUCUAGAGCUAAUACAUGCUAAAAAUCCCAACUUCGGAAGGGAUGUAUUUAUUAGAUUAAAAACCAAUGCCCUCCGGGGCUUACUGGUGAUUCAUGAUAACUCCUCGAAUCGCAUGGCCUUGCGCCGGCGAUGGUUCAUUCAAAUUUCUUCCCUAUCAACUUUCGAUGUUUGGGUAUUGGCCAAACAUGGUUGCAACGGGUAACGGAGGGUUAGGGCUCGACCCCGGAGAAGGAGCCUGAGAAACGGCUACUACAUCCAAGGAAGGCAGCAGGCGCGCAAAUUACCCAAUCCCGACACGGGGAGGUAGUGACAAUAAAUACUGAUACAGGGCUCUUUUGGGUCUUGUAAUUGGGAUGAGUACAAUUUAAAUCCCUUAACGAGGAACAAUUGGAGGGCAAGUCUGGUGCCAGCAGCCGCGGUAAUUCCAGCUCCAAUAGCGUAUAUUAAAGUUGUUGUGGUUAAAAAGCUCGUAGUUGAACCUUGGCCUGGCUGGCCGGUCCGCCUCACCGCGUGCACUGGUCCGGCCGGGCCUUUCCCUCUGUGGAACCCCAUGCCCUUCACUGGGUGUGGCGGGGAAACAGGACUUUUACUGUGAAAAAAUUAGAGUGCUCCAGGCAGGCCUAUGCUCGAAUACAUUAGCAUGGAAUAAUAGAAUAGGACGUGUGGUUCUAUUUUGUUGGUUUCUAGGACCGCCGUAAUGAUUAAUAGGGACAGUCGGGGGCAUCAGUAUUCAAUUGUCAGAGGUGAAAUUCUUGGAUUUAUUGAAGACUAACUACUGCGAAAGCAUUUGCCAAGGAUGUUUUCAUUAAUCAGGAACGAAAGUUAGGGGAUCGAAGACGAUCAGAUACCGUCGUAGUCUUAACCAUAAACUAUGCCGACUAGGGAUCGGACGGUGUUAUA
This 1053-nucleotide ribosomal RNA is filed under the name Fusarium virguliforme Mont-1. RNAcentral describes it as "SSU rRNA". It matches the Rfam family "Eukaryotic small subunit ribosomal RNA", at positions 3 to 1067 of the family's 1831-position model. Lineage: Eukaryota; Fungi; Ascomycota; Sordariomycetes; Hypocreales; Nectriaceae. The record is from RNAcentral.